Molecule: long non-coding RNA, 273 nt
Filed under: Anas platyrhynchos platyrhynchos (common mallard)
Lineage: Eukaryota; Metazoa; Chordata; Aves; Anseriformes; Anatidae
Description: lncRNA (ENSAPLG00000029849.1)
Source: RNAcentral
CCCAUAUGGAAUGCUGAGAAGUGCUGAAACUCAUUCUGUGCAUCGUGAUGACUAAUUGAAAGAAACAGCUUGAUGAAUUUUCUAGUCCAGCCAGAGAUCCCCAGCCUGCUUUACAUGGAGAUAAUCACAUAUGCAGCACACUGGAUGAGUCAAUGCCAUACUUCGGAAAAGAAAAAAAAUAUUAAAGAGAGGAAUACAGAAAAUUGUAUAGUCUAGGUAUUAAGUCUUCCAAAAUUAGUCUAAGACAAAAUAAAUAUUUCUAUAGAGGAAACA